This is a long non-coding RNA of Bolinopsis microptera, 556 nucleotides long. RefSeq lists it as uncharacterized. NCBI's taxonomy places the organism in Eukaryota, Metazoa, Ctenophora, Tentaculata, Lobata, Bolinopsidae. The record is from RefSeq and is a predicted model, not a curated record. The transcript is spliced from 2 exons.
UAUGCUGCGAGGGCGUUUACCUCGAUAGAUGUUGAAAAUGCCCACAGCAUUAUAAAUCAUUUGGACCGCCGAGGGGUCCAAAACUCCUCAAUCGAAGAGCUUAGUAGACAUGCCAGCAACCUACAGAGACUUCAAAUUCUCAGGAAACCUCUCUAGGACGGAAGCUUUAUACUCCGACAUCCACAAUUUACCACGCCCCUGAGAUCGACAAAGGUCUUUCUGAUAGAUUGACUUCCAGCCAAUUCGAUCUAUCGAAGCCGAGUGGGAAGAACAAAGAACUGAAACCCCAUGGUCGCAACGAUGCUCCUCGCGGACAAGGGAGAGUUAGGGCCAUCGGUGGUCACAAGACUGCAGAAUAUUUAUUUUUUAAGCGUUGAGGUUGUCACGAAAGCGUACUGUAACGGGACUAUCAGAUUUGAGUGAUUUGAUUUUGUGAUUUGCAGUUCACGUGAUUUUAUUGUGAUUUUAGACUGUAAAAACUAUAAAGGUUCAAGUUGAACUAUCGUCGCCAUGAUUAUGUAUUUUGGAACUGUUCACGUUGAAAUUGCUUCGUUAA